RNAcentral lists this ribosomal RNA (774 nucleotides) under uncultured Neocallimastigales. Its description in RNAcentral is "partial large subunit ribosomal RNA". It matches the Rfam family "Eukaryotic large subunit ribosomal RNA", at positions 22 to 628 of the family's 3401-position model. Lineage: Eukaryota; Fungi; Neocallimastigomycota; Neocallimastigomycetes; Neocallimastigales. The record is from RNAcentral.
GUACACGCUGUGACUAGCAUAUCAAUAAGCGGAGGAAAAGAAGCUAACAAGGAUUCCCCUAGUAACGGCGAGUGAAGCGGGAAGAGCUCAAAUUUGAAAUCUUAAAGGGUUUCCCUUUACGAAUUGUAGUUUAAAGAAGUGUUUUCUGUUGAGGUUUUGGUAAAAGUUCUUUGGAAUAGGACAUCAUAGAGGGUGAGAAUCCCGUAUUUGACCUUUACUUUCAACUUUGUGAUACACUUUCAAAGAGUCGGAUUGUUUGGGAAUGCAGUCCAAAAUGGGUGGUAAAUUUCAUCUAAAGCUAAAUAUUGGCGAGAGACCGAUAGCGAACAAGUACCGUGAGGGAAAGAUGAAAAGAACUUUGAAAAGAGAGUUAAACAGUACGUGAAAUUGUCAAAAGGGAAGCGUUUGACACCAGUGUUGUUUUUCUGAAAAUCAAUUAAAGAACUGUUUAUGCUAAGCUGUUUAGACUUUAUCAGCUAUCUGUUUAGUUUUGAGCUUUUCUUUAAUGCACUUUUCAGUUAACAAGUCAACAUCAAUUUCUUUUGCUGUAAAAAAGCUUGAGGAAGGUGGCUUGAGAUUCGUCUUAAGUGUUUAUAGCCUCUUGCCUAUGCAGUCGGAGAGAUUGAGGUCUGCAGCGUAGAUCCUUCGGGGCUAAAUGCAUUUGUGCUAAGUUAUAGCAUUUUAUAGACAACUUGUUGACUAUGAUUUGUCUUGUAGCUUACUCGCUUAUGUUAUUUUACCUACGCUUAGGAUGUUGAGUCGUAGAGCACGCAG